RNAcentral lists this ribosomal RNA (395 nucleotides) under Escherichia coli. RNAcentral describes it as "partial 23S ribosomal RNA". It matches the Rfam family "Bacterial large subunit ribosomal RNA", at positions 845 to 1238 of the family's 2925-position model. Lineage: Bacteria; Pseudomonadati; Pseudomonadota; Gammaproteobacteria; Enterobacterales; Enterobacteriaceae. The record is from RNAcentral.
AUAGCUGGUUCUCCCCGAAAGCUAUUUAGGUAGCGCCUCGUGAAUUCAUCUCCGGGGGUAGAGCACUGUUUCGGCAAGGGGGUCAUCCCGACUUACCAACCCGAUGCAAACUGCGAAUACCGGAGAAUGUUAUCACGGGAGACACACGGCGGGUGCUAACGUCCGUCGUGAAGAGGGAAACAACCCAGACCGCCAGCUAAGGUCCCAAAGUCAUGGUUAAGUGGGAAACGAUGUGGGAAGGCCCAGACAGCCAGGAUGUUGGCUUAGAAGCAGCCAUCAUUUAAAGAAAGCGUAAUAGCUCACUGGUCGAGUCGGCCUGCGCGGAAGAUGUAACGGGGCUAAACCAUGCACCGAAGCUGCGGCAGCGACACUAUGUGUUGUUGGGUAGGGGAGCG